AUUUAGAUGAGUUUGGUGAUAGCUCUGAUUGAACGCUGUCUAAGUGCUUGACACAUGCUAAUCGUACGAUUAAUACAAUUGAAAAAUUAAAUUAAUAGUGGUGUAAGGGUGAGUAUAAGAUAUUUUUGCCUAUCUUGAAGUAAGGGGGUAUUAAAAUCCCUUAUAAUAAAAAAAAAGGUGGUAAGUUACCACUGCUUUGAGAGGACGAGAAAUAUUACAGGAAAAGGUAGUUGUUAAGGUAAUGGCUUAACAAGCCGCGAAUUUCCUUAGUCGUAACUGAAAGGUUGAUCGAUCACAUUGGGUCUGAAAAAACCCCAAUGCAUAUAUGCACAGCAGUGAGGAAUUUUGGUCAAUGGCCUAACGGCCGAACUGGCAACUUAGGGAAAUGACAAUUGGUUAUCAAAUGAAGUUUUGUCUAUAUAUUGAUAAUGACAAUAUAUAUAAAAAGUCUUGACUAAUUACGUGCCAGCAGUCGCGGUAAUACGUAAGAGACAAGUGUUAUUCAUCUUAAGUAGGUUUAAAGGGUACCUAGACGGCCAACAUGACUUUAUAAGUAGUAGUUGGCUAGAGUUUUAUGUAAGAAGUACAGUACUUUUAAGUGGAGAGAUGAAAUUCUGUGAUACUCUAGGGACUGGUAAAGGCGAAGGCAGUCUUCUAUGUAAAAACUGACGUUGAGGGACGAAGGCUUAGGUAACGAACAGGAUUAGGCACCCCAGUAGUCUCUGCAGACAAUGAUGAAUGCCAUAGAUUAGACAUAGUUUGGUCUAUAAAUGAAAGUGUAAGCAUUUCACCUCAAGAGUAAAGUGGCAACACCGGAACUGAAAUCACUAGACCGUUUCUGACACCAGUAGUGAAGUAUGUUGUUUAAUUCGAUGAUCCACGAAAAACCUUACCACAAUUUGAAUACUUAAUGAUAAGUUAAGAUACAGGUGUUGCACGGCUGUUUUCAGUUAAUGUUGUGAAACUGUGGGUUUCUCCAUGUAAUUAACGGAAUCCUUGUCUCUAUUUAUAAAAGAUAUAAUAGAGAAUUUUUUCUGUAUACCGGAAAUAAUAAAGAGGACAAAGACAAGUCAUCAUGGCCCUAAUAUUGUGGGCUAUAAACGUGCCGCAGUACUCCUAAACAAAGAGAUGCGAAAAUGCGAAUUUAAGCUAAUCUCAAAAAAUAGGAUACAAACAAAAGGAUUGUAGUCUGAAAUUCGACUAUAUGAAUAAGUAAUUGCUAGUAAUCGUGAAUCACCAUGUCACGGUGAAUACAACCUCGGAUUGGUACUAACCACUCGUCACAUGCUGAAAGGAGUGCUCCGCAAUAAGUUUGCUUUUUUAUUAUAAAUAUAUAAUAGUUAUAAUUAGAUCUUUAUAAUAGGAUUCACCGUAUGCGAGACUCUGAUUAGUGUUAAGUCGAAAUACGGUUCGUGUAGUGGAAGUUGCACGGGAUUGAUUAACCAUA
This 1447-nucleotide ribosomal RNA is filed under the name Scopulariopsis brevicaulis (arsenic fungus). Its description in RNAcentral is "SSU rRNA". It matches the Rfam family "Bacterial small subunit ribosomal RNA". Lineage: Eukaryota; Fungi; Ascomycota; Sordariomycetes; Microascales; Microascaceae. The record is from RNAcentral.